UAGUGGAGUGAUCUGUCUGGUUAAUUCCGAUAACGAACGAGAUCCCGGCCAUUUAAAUAGUGUUUAUUACUUUGUAGUAAUACACUUCUUAGAGGAACUAUGUGGAAAAACUAACCCCAACGGAAGUGGGGCGUAUAACA
RNAcentral lists this ribosomal RNA (140 nucleotides) under uncultured eukaryote. RNAcentral's name for it is "partial 18S ribosomal RNA". It matches the Rfam family "Eukaryotic small subunit ribosomal RNA", at positions 1299 to 1458 of the family's 1831-position model. The record is from RNAcentral.